CCUACGGGAGGCAGCAGUGGGGGAUAUUGCACAAUGGGGGAAACCCUGAUGCAGCGACGCCGCGUGGGUGAAGAAGCGCCUCGGCGCGUAAAGCCCUGUCAGCAGGGAAGAAAAUGACGGUACCUGAAGAAGAAGCCCCGGCUACCUCCGUGCCAGCAGCCGCGGUACUACGUAGGGGGCAAGCCUUAUCCGGAUUUACUGGGUGUAAAGGGGGCGCAGACGGCGAUGCAAGCCAGGAGUGAAAGCCCGGGGCCCAACCCCGGGACUGCGCGUGGAACUGCGUGGCUAGAGGGCAGGAGGGGCAGGCGGAAUUCCUGGUGUAGCGGUGAAAUGCGUAGAUAUCAGGAGGAACACCGGUGGCGAAGGCGGCCUGCUGGACUGCAACUGACGUUGAGGCCCGAAAGCGUGGGGAGCAAACAGGAUUAGAUACCCUGGUAGUC
Molecule: ribosomal RNA, 440 nt
Filed under: uncultured bacterium
Lineage: Bacteria
Description: partial 16S ribosomal RNA
Rfam family: Bacterial small subunit ribosomal RNA
Source: RNAcentral